This 73-nucleotide transfer RNA is filed under the name Canis lupus familiaris (dog). It matches the Rfam family "tRNA". From Rfam's summary of the family: Transfer RNA (tRNA) molecules are approximately 80 nucleotides in length. Their secondary structure includes four short double-helical elements and three loops (D, anti-codon, and T loops). The record is from Rfam by way of RNAcentral. Lineage: Eukaryota; Metazoa; Chordata; Mammalia; Carnivora; Canidae.
ACCUAGCUGACUCAGUCCAUAGAGUGUAUGACUCUUGAUCACAGGGUCAUGAGUUCAAGCCCCAUGUUGGGUG